ACGCUUAGGAAAAUAGAAAAGAACCUACGUGAUUAUCGGGGCAGGUCCCCCGAUAUCUGGCGCCCACGUGGUCUUUCUUUUUUCCUAAGUGCAUGAGGGAACCCGAUUCCCUUUGGUAGGUGCGGUGAAACAUCAAUCGGCUUGGUCCAAGAUAAGCGUGUUCAACUCCCCGACGAGUGGACAAAAUAUGAAACACCAAGAAAAAGAGAAGGAAAAAAAGGAGGAAACAACCACAUAUGUCACCUUUCCAAGAGGGGCUGAAACCGGGCUGACCCUUUUGAUUUCCAAACUCAGCGUUUUGGUGUAAGGCGGCCAAAGAAGGAUGCAGAGCCCAGCACUGUGAAGCCUACAAAAACAUUGAUGCGCUGGCUUGGGGAUUUGAAUUUGAACAUCUUUCACAGCAAGUUCAGACUCAUGAAACCAAUCUUCAGAUGCUCUGUAAACCACAUAAUAAAGAGUUUGGAAAUU
RNAcentral lists this long non-coding RNA (468 nucleotides) under Pan troglodytes (chimpanzee). RNAcentral describes it as "lincRNA". The record is from RNAcentral. Lineage: Eukaryota; Metazoa; Chordata; Mammalia; Primates; Hominidae.